RNAcentral lists this long non-coding RNA (1156 nucleotides) under Phasianus colchicus (ring-necked pheasant). RNAcentral's name for it is "lncRNA (ENSPCLG00000018984.1)". The record is from RNAcentral. Lineage: Eukaryota; Metazoa; Chordata; Aves; Galliformes; Phasianidae.
GGAGUGGGACGGCCCUAUAAGGGUGUAGGGUGGCCCCAUAAGGGGGUGUGUGGGGUGGCCCUAUAAGGGGGGAGGGGGAGAAGUGUAGGGCAGCCCUACAGUGAGGGGGGGCGAAGCCCUUAUGGGGUCUGUGGGAUCUCUGUGGGAUCUCUAUGGGAUCUCUAUGGGGUUUUUAUGGGGUUUCUAUGGGGUUUCUGUGGGUCUGGAUGGGAUCUAUGGGAUCUCUAUGGGGUUUCUAUGGGAUCUGUGGGAUCUCUAGGGGUUUCUAUGGGACCUGUGGUGUCUCAAUGGGAUCUGUGGGAUCUCUAUGGGGUUUCUAUGGGUUUGUAUGUGAUCUAUGGGAUAUAUGGGAUCUGUGGGAUGUCUAUGGGGUUUCUAUGGGACUGGAUGGGAUCUGUGGGAUCUCUAUGGGGUUUCUAUAGGUCUGGAUGUGAUCUAUGGGAUCUGUGGGAUCUCUAUGGGGUUUCUAUGGGUAUGGGAUCUCUAUGGGGUUUCUAUGGGACUGGAUGGGAUCUGUGGGAUCUGUGGGUUCUCUAUGGGGUUUCUAUGGGUCUGGAUGGGAUCUAUGGGAUCUUUGGGAUCUCUAUGGGAUCUCUGUGGGACCUGUGGGAUCUCUAUGGGAUCUGUGGGAUCUCUAUGGGGUUUCUAUGGGUCUGGAUGGGAACUAUGGGAUCUCUUUGGGAUCUGUGGGAUCUGGGGGAUCUCUAUGGGGUUCCUAUGGGUCUGGAUGGGAUCUGUGGGAUCUCUAUGGGGUUUCUAUGGGUCUGGAUGGGAUCUAUGGGAUCUGUGGGAUCUCUAUGGGGUUUCUAUGGGACCUAUGGGAUCUCUAUGGGACCUGUGGGAUCUCUAUGGGAUCUCUAUGGGACCUGUGGGAUCUCUAUGUGAUCUGUGGGAUCUCUGUGGGGUUUCUAUGGGGUUUUUAUGGGGUUUCUAUGGGUCUGGAUGGGAUCUGUGGGAUCUCUAUGGGGUUUCUAUGGGAUCUGUGGGAUCUCUAUGGGGUUUCUAUGGGUCUGGAUGUGAUCUAUGGGAUCUGUGGGGUGCCUAUGGGGUUUCUACGGGUAUGGGAUCUCUAUGGGGUUUCCAUGCGUCUACAUGCGAUCUAUGGGAUCUGUGGGGAUGCCUCUGGGGUUUCUAUGGGUGUGGGAUCUCUAUGGGG